RNAcentral lists this ribosomal RNA (264 nucleotides) under uncultured archaeon. RNAcentral describes it as "partial 16S ribosomal RNA". It matches the Rfam family "Archaeal small subunit ribosomal RNA", at positions 714 to 982 of the family's 1478-position model. The record is from RNAcentral.
AGACGUCUACAUUAGAUACCCCUGUAGUCCCAGCCGUAAACUAUGCGCGUUAGGUGUAUCGGUGACCACGAGUUACCGAGGUGCCGAAGGGAAACCGUGAAACGUGCCGCCUGGGAAGUACGGUCGCAAGGCUGAAACUUAAAGGAAUUGGCGGGGAGCACCACAACAGGUGGAGCCUGCGGUUUAAUUGGACUCAACGCCGGGAAGCUCACCGGAUAGGACAGCAGAAUGAUUGCCGGGCUGAAGACCCUGCAUGACUAGCUG